RNAcentral lists this ribosomal RNA (1396 nucleotides) under metagenome. RNAcentral's name for it is "bacterial LSU rRNA". It matches the Rfam family "Bacterial large subunit ribosomal RNA", at positions 1537 to 2910 of the family's 2925-position model. The record is from RNAcentral.
AAAAUCCGGGCCUCAUAAACUCUGAGACGUGAUACCGAGCCGCUUCAGGCGAAGUCAUUGAUCCUAUGCUGCCUAGAAAAGCCCAGCAGCGAGUUGACAUGGUGCCCGUACCCCAAACCAACACAGGUGGACAGGUAGAGCAUACCAAGGCGAGUGGGAUAACUAUGGUUAAGGAACUCGGCAAAUUGCCUCCGUAACUUCGGGAGAAGCAGGACCCCAGUAGCGUGAUGAGACUUGCUCUCUGAGCGUGAAGGGGUGGCACAAAAUUGAGGGAAGCGACUGUUUACCAAAAACACAGCAGCGUGCUAAGCCGUAAGGCGCUGUAUACGCUGUGACUCCUGCCCGGUGCUGGAAGGUUACGGGGAUGGGUUAGUCCUUCGGGACGAAGCUCUGGACCUAAGCCCCAGUAAACGGCGGCCGUAACUAUAACGGUCCUAAGGUAGCGAAAUUCCUUGUCGGGUAAGUUCCGACCUGCACGAAUGGAGUAACGACUUCCCUACUGUCUCAACCAUAGACCCAGCGAAAUUGAAGUACGAGUAAAGAUGCUCGUUAGCUGCAGAAGGACGGAAAGACCCCGUGGACCUUUACUAUAACUUGAUGUUGUGUUUUGUCAUAUGUUGUGUAGGAUAGGUGGGAGACUCGGAAGCAUGGACGCUAGUCUGUGUGGAGUCAUCGUUGAAAUACCACCCUGCAUAUGGUGAGGCUCUAACCUAGACCCGUUAUCCGGGUCGGGGACAGCGUCAGGCGGGUAGUUUAACUGGGGCGGUUGCCUCCUAAAGAGUAACGGAGGCGCCCAAAGGUUCCCUCAGCCUGGUUGGCAAUCAGGCGUUGAGUGCAAUGGCAAAAGGGAGCUUGACUGCGAGACCUACAAGUCGAGCAGGAGCGAAAGCUGGGCAUAGUGAUCCGGCGGUUGCGUGUGGAAGCGCCGUCGCUCAACGGAUAAAAGGUACCCCGGGGAUAACAGGCUAAUCUUGCCCAAGCGUCCAUAGCGACGGCAAGGUUUGGCACCUCGAUGUCGGCUCAUCGCAUCCUGGGGCUGAAGCAGGUCCCAAGGGUUGGGCUGUUCGCCCAUUAAAGCGGUACGCGAGCUGGGUUCAGAACGUCGUGAGACAGUUCGGUCCCUAUCCUCUGCAGCCGGAGGUGAAUGGAGGAAAGCUGUCCCUAGUACGAGAGGACCGGGACGGACGCAGCUCUCGUGUGCCAGUUGUCCUGCCAAGGGCAUGGCUGGCUAGCGACCUGCGGAAAGGAUAACCGCUGAAAGCAUCUAAGCGGGAAGCCUCUUCCAAGAUGAAUUCACCCACAGGGUUAACCUGGUAAGGCCCGUGGUAGACCACCACGUUGAUAGGCCGGAAGUGUAAGCGUGGCAACACGUUCAGCUGACCGGUACUAAUCGGCC